UCACUGAUGGUGUCUGUUUGUCCAGACAGCU
This 31-nucleotide non-coding RNA is filed under the name Homo sapiens (human). The record is from RNAcentral. Lineage: Eukaryota; Metazoa; Chordata; Mammalia; Primates; Hominidae.